GCCUGGGUGGCUCAGUGGUUGAGCGUCUGCCUUUGGCUCAGGUUGUGGUCCUGGGAUCUAGUCCCAAUUCAGGCU
RNAcentral lists this transfer RNA (75 nucleotides) under Canis lupus familiaris (dog). It matches the Rfam family "tRNA". Rfam says of the family: Transfer RNA (tRNA) molecules are approximately 80 nucleotides in length. Their secondary structure includes four short double-helical elements and three loops (D, anti-codon, and T loops). Further hydrogen bonds mediate the characteristic L-shaped molecular structure. tRNAs have two regions of fundamental functional importance: the anti-codon, which is responsible for specific mRNA codon recognition, and the 3' end, to which the tRNAs corresponding amino acid is attached (by aminoacyl-tRNA synthetases). tRNAs cope with the degeneracy of the genetic code in two manners: having more than one tRNA (with a specific anti-codon) for a particular amino acid; and 'wobble' base-pairing, i.e. permitting non-standard base-pairing at the 3rd anti-codon position. Lineage: Eukaryota; Metazoa; Chordata; Mammalia; Carnivora; Canidae. RNAcentral also lists the same sequence under 1 other name. The record is from Rfam by way of RNAcentral.